This 253-nucleotide ribosomal RNA is filed under the name uncultured bacterium. RNAcentral describes it as "partial 16S ribosomal RNA". It matches the Rfam family "Bacterial small subunit ribosomal RNA", at positions 524 to 776 of the family's 1533-position model. The record is from RNAcentral.
UACGUGGGGUGCGAGCGUUGUUCGGAAUUACUGGGCGUAAAGCGCGUGUAGGCGGUUCGCUAAGUUCGAUGUGAAAGCCCUGGGCUUAACCCAGGAACUGCAUUGAAAACUGGUGGACUUGAGUCCGGGAGAGGGAUGUGGAAUUCCAGGUGUAGCGGUGAAAUGCGUAGAUAUCUGGAGGAACACCGGUGGCGAAGGCGGCAUCCUGGACCGGUAUUGACGCUGAGGCGCGAAAGCCAGGGGAGCAAACGGG